GGUAUUUCAAUUUCCACUUCCUUUUUCCCAGAACCUACCUUCCUUCUCUUCAACUUCGAAUGAAUAAUCUCCACCUUGGCUGCCUAAUGAAUAAUUAUGUGCUUCGUCAUCAACUUUAUUUCCCAGACCCUACUGUCGGCCCACCUCAAAUACUCAUUCGCAAGCCGCCGUCGAAUAAAGCAAACCUCCUUUUGAUUUUUGUGAAUCGUUGUUGUGAACCCGGAAACUAAAUGUUACGUAUUCGUUAUUAUUUGCUGUUUUUAUCAAUUUUGUGCCAAAUAUUGGUCCCUUCAACCUCCAGUCGUCACCAGUCCCGUCGGGAACUCCUCCAGAACGGUAAUGUCUCCAACCGUUGCCCGUUAGACUUUGGUGUUUUACGGAGAGGCAAGAGGCCCAGUAACUUGGAUACCCGUUCGGAAUGCCAGUAUAUUAAACAGGGCAUCCGGCUUGUUGAAUCUGAGUAUAUACGAGUCACCAGCUCCUUUCUCCCGCCGCCAGACUCGGCCGAAUCAUGCUGGGACUCGUAUGAGUCUCUGGUCAACGAGUAUGAACCCAACUUCGACAUACGCAGUCGGUGUGGUUUCGAGACGGAGUGGAUUGCCCGUGGCUGUAUGAACAUCACGACACGAUCCGAGUUCGAAUCCUUCAUCCCGCGAAACGACCUCGACGACGUCAUUUCAGCAUGUAACCAUUCCCUCCUGAACGGCUCCCCUUGUGCCACCUGUACCACCGCCCUUUCAAGGCUUCAGGCCUCGUACCUUACCGGCCCGUCAAUUGGGAACGUCUCCGACUGUACGGCCUACCCUUUUAUCUACGUCGCUGCUUUUGCAAAUCACUUUGGGCCCACCAAUGAAGGUACAGCAAAGUGCUUAUUCAAUCUCGAUUUUGCAUCACACAGGUCGAGUGGUAAGAAGAAAAAAGUUGUAAUCCCGGUAGGCUUGUCGAUAUCUGCGGUGGUUUUGAUUCUGGGUUUUUUAGGGUUUUGGUUUUUCCGGCGAAGAAGGAAGAAAUUUUUGAAGCGAAAGUUGACAAAGGCUACGAAAGAGGUUAGCUUAACUUCCGGGUUGGAUUCGAUUAAUGGGAGCACUACAUUAAUUAGGUUCAAAUUUGAUGAAAUUAAGGCGAUCACGAAGAACUUCUCAAGGGAGCAUAUAAUUGGGAGAGGAGGGUAUGGGAAUGUGUACAAAGGAGUGUUACCAGAUGGGUCUGAAGUGGCACUGAAGAGGUUCAAGAAUUGUUCUGCUUCUGGUGAUGCGAGUUUCAUGCACGAAGUGGAAGUUAUUGCCAGCAUUAGACAUGUGAAUUUGGUGGCGUUGAGAGGGUAUUGUACAGCGACAACCCCUUUUGAGGGGCACCAAAGGAUAAUUGUGUGUGACUUGUUGAAGAAUGGGAGUGUUCAUGAUCAUCUAUUUGGGUUGGUGGAGAAGAAGUUGAGUUGGCCUAUACGUCAGAAGAUAGCUCUUGGGACAGCUAAAGGGUUGUCUUAUUUGCAUUAUGGUGCCCAACCGGCAAUUAUUCAUAGGGAUAUCAAGGCUAGUAAUAUACUCUUGGAUGAGAGGUUUGAGCCUAUGGUAGCGGACUUUGGAUUAGCAAAGUUUAACCCAGAGGGAUUGACUCACUUCAGUACUAGGGUGGCUGGGACAAGGGGAUAUGUAGCGCCUGAGUAUGCAUUGUAUGGACAAUUGACUGAGAGAAGUGAUGUUUAUAGCUUUGGAGUAGUGCUUCUUGAGCUUUUGAGCGGGAAGAAAGCUCUGAUAGCUGUUAAUGAUAGCCCACCUAGCCUCAUCACUGAUUGGGCAUGGUCUCUGGUUAGGAAUGGGAGACCAUUGGAUGUUGUUGAAGAUAUGCCAGAUUUGGGUCCUCCCGAUGUUGUGGAGAAGUAUGUGUUAGUGGCUGUUCUUUGUUCGCAUCCGCAAUUGCAUGCUAGGCCGACAAUGGACCAAGUUGUUAAAUUGUUAGACACUGAUGUAUCAAUUCCUUCCAUACCAGAAAGACCUAUAUCUCUCAUAGCAAAUAUUGAUGAUAUUGAGCGAUUAGCAAGCAGCAGCGGCUCUGGUAACUUGUCAACGCCUGCUGGUUAUCAGCAUUAUACUUUUGAUGAAGACCAUCCUCAGACACCCAAGAAGGAUAGUGAGAACUCUGACGGCAAAUAAUUUGGUACUUGGACGAGAAUGUCAAUAGAACUUCAUACUGCAAUUUGCUUCCUUGAAUUACUAUGCGUAGCUCAUUCUUUUGUUCAUUUAGAUAGAUUGAAUGGUACGUUGAUCUGGAAUCACCGACACCCUACUGUACAAGAGCUUCUCACGGCUGCUACGCGUAGAAGUAUAUAGAUCAAUAAGGAUGGUGGAUACUAGCAAUUAGUUUAUGCUAUUAGGACGGAAGAUUCAAGAGUUCUCAGAUGCACCAUGGGGCUUUGCAUAUUAAAGUAUCUUAUGCACGAAAAGGUUAUCACUCAGCAGCAGCGAACGACUGCUCGGUGGUACUGUAUUCAUUUUUACAUUGCCGCCUGAAUUCGCAUUUCGAGUUUCUCAAAAAGAUCGCUUGCGAGUUGCGAUAUGCUUUCUCUUCCUAUUGUGAGGUUGCUGGCUUUGCAACUUCGCCUAGCAUGGUCCAACAAUUUCACUAGCUUGCAUAGAGUUGGUAGUAUAGUCCGCGUAGCAAUCAAGAACACGGGUUCAACAAUUUGAUGUUUCACGAAAGCACUGAACAAAAACUGAAGAAAACUUCUUCAUUUUGUCUCAACGUGUUUAAGGGCUCAGCUUGCAGUGUUAGUGCUUUUAUUUUUGCUUCUAUUUUUGCUUCUACUUCUGCUUUAUUUGAGGUGCCAACUUGUCAAAGCCCGUUUAGCCUUUUAUGCUCAUGCUUCCUGGAUCAUGAUAUUAAUGAGGUCCAUGUUUUUCUUGCCCAAAUUUGUUGAUAUUCUCAAUAUUGAGUUUCUAGGAUUUCCAUAGUUCACUUGUUUAUUGGUGCAAUAAGUACCAUAUUUGGCUCCUUAAUUGGUGCAAAAUGUUUGAAAAUCUUACAUAAUUAGAAGUCUUCGAUUAUCA
This is an RNA transcript of Olea europaea var. sylvestris, 3047 nucleotides long. It is a transcript of the gene named probable LRR receptor-like serine/threonine-protein kinase RKF3, with no coding region annotated. Lineage: Eukaryota; Viridiplantae; Streptophyta; Magnoliopsida; Lamiales; Oleaceae. The record is from RefSeq and is a predicted model, not a curated record. The transcript is spliced from 2 exons.